AGUGGAUGGGGAGCAACCUAGUUGUGCGUGUGUAAAGGUAGUGCCAAGAAAAGCGGUGAUCAUGAUGAAAAUCAAUUCCCGGUACCCGAAACCGACACAGGUGGGCAAGUAGAGAAUACUAAGGGGCGCGAGGUAACUCUCUCCAAGGAACUCGGCAAAAUGACCCCGUAACUUAGAGAGAAGGGGUGCCACCGAGAGGUGGUCGCAGUGAAGAGGCCCAGGCGACUGUUUAGCAAAAACAUAGGUCUCUGCAAACUCGAAAGAGGAGGUAUAGGGGCUGACGCCUGCCCAGUGCCGGAAGGUUAAAGAAGUUGGUCAGUCUUAGGAUAAAGCUAGCGACUGAAGCCCCGGUGAACGGCGGCCGUAACUAUAACGGUCCUAAGGUAGCGAAAUUCCUUGUCGGGUAAGUUCCGACCCGCACGAAAGGCGUAACGAUCUGGGCGCUGUCUCGGAGAGAGGCUCGGCGAAAUAGGAUUGUCUGUGAAGAUACGGACUACCUGCAUUUGGACAGAAAGACCCUAUGAAGCUUUACUAUAGCUUGGAAUUGUGUUCGGGCUUCCUGUGCGCAGGAUAGGUGGGAGGCGAAGAAGGUAUUCUUGUGGGGAUACUGGAGCCAACGGUGAGAUACCACUCUCAGGAGGCUAGAAUUCUAACUUAAUUAAGGACAGUUUCAGGUGGGUAGUUUGACUGGGGCGGUCGCCUCCAAAAAGGUAACGGAGGCGUACAAAGGUUCCCUCAGACUGGUUGGAAAUCAGUCGCAGAGUGCAAAGGCAGAAGGGAGCUUGACUGCGAGAAGUACAGUUCGAGCAGGGUGGAAACACGGUCUUAGUGAUCCGACGGUGCUGUGUGGAAGGGCCGUCGCUCAACGGAUAAAAGUUACUCUAGGAUAACAGGCUGAUCUCCCCCAAGAGUUCACAUCGACGGGGAGGUUUGGCACCUCGAUGUCGGCUCAUCGCAACCUGGGGCGGAAGUACGUCCCAAGGGUUGGGCUGUUCGCCCAUUAAAGCGGUACGUGAGCUGGGUUCAGAACGUCGUGAGACAGUUCGGUCCAUAUCCGAUGUAGGCGUGAGAAUAUUGAGAGGAGCCUUCCUUAGUACGAGAGGACCGGGAAGGACGCACCGCUGGUGUACCUGUUAUGAUGCCAAUUGUAAACGCAGGGUAGCCAAGUGCGGAGAGGAUAACCGCUGAAAGCAUCUAAGUGGGAAGCCCACCUCAAGAUGAGUAUUCUGGUGUAAGGUCACGGGAAGACGACCCGUAAAUAGGCACGAGGUGGAAGUGCAGAGAUGUAUGAAGCCGAAGUGUACUAAUAGACCGUCGGCUUGAC
RNAcentral lists this ribosomal RNA (1324 nucleotides) under metagenome. Its description in RNAcentral is "bacterial LSU rRNA". It matches the Rfam family "Bacterial large subunit ribosomal RNA", at positions 1561 to 2925 of the family's 2925-position model. The record is from RNAcentral.